GGGUUGUGAGGUUAAGCGACUAAGCGUACACGGUGGAUGCCCUGGCAGUCAGAGGCGAUGAAGGACGUGCUAAUCUGCGUAAAGCGACGGUAAGGUGAUAUGAACCGCUACAGCCGUCGAUGUCCGAAUGGGGAAACCCGGUGCACUCAGUGCAUCAUUGCAGCAUGAAUACAUAGUGCUGCAAGGCGAACCGGGGGAACUGAAACAUCUAAGUACCCCGAGGAAAAGAAAUCAACCGAGAUUCCCCCAGUAGCGGCGAGCGAACGGGGAGCAGCCCAGAGCCUGAAUCAGCAUGUGUGUUAGUGGAAGCGUCUGGAAAGUCGCAGGGUACAGGGUGAUACUCCCGUACACAAAAGCACACGCGCUGUGAGCUCGAUGAGUAAGGCGGGACACGUGGUAUCCUGUCUGAAUAUGGGGGGACCAUCCUCCAAGGCUAAAUACUCCUGACUGACCGAUAGUGAACCAGUACCGUGAGGGAAAGGCGAAAAGAACCCCGGCGAGGGGAGUGAAACAGAACCUGAAACCGUGUACGUACAAGCAGUGGGAGCACCCUUGUGGUGUGACUGCGUACCUUUUGUAUAAUGGGUCAGCGACUUAUAUUCUGUAGCAAGGUUAACCGUAUAGGGGAGCCGCAGGGAAACCGAGUCUUAACUGGGCGUUAAGUUGCAGGGUAUAGACCCGAAACCCGGUGAUCUAGCCAUGGGCAGGUUGAAGGUUGGGUAACACUAACUGGAGGACCGAACCGACUAAUGUUGAAAAAUUAGCGGAUGACCUGUGGCUGGGGGUGAAAGGCCAAUCAAACCGGGAGAUAGCUGGUUCUCCCCGAAAGCUAUUUAGGUAGCGCCUCGUGAACUCAUCUCCGGGGGUAGAGCACUGUUUCGGCUAGGGGGCCAUCCCGGCUUACCAACCCGAUGCAAACUGCGAAUACCGGAGAAUGUUAUCACGGGAGACACACGGCGGGUGCUAACGUCCGUCGUGAAGAGGGAAACAACCCAGACCGCCAGCUAAGGUCCCAAAGUCAUGGUUAAGUGGGAAACGAUGUGGGAAGGCACAGACAGCCAGGAUGUUGGCUUAGAAGCAGCCAUCAUUUAAAGAAAGCGUAAUAGCUCACUGGUCGAGUCGGCCUGCGCGGAAGAUGUAACGGGGCUAAACCAUGCACCGAAGCUGCGGCAGCGACACU
Molecule: ribosomal RNA, 1180 nt
Filed under: Pantoea anthophila
Lineage: Bacteria; Pseudomonadati; Pseudomonadota; Gammaproteobacteria; Enterobacterales; Erwiniaceae
Description: partial 23S ribosomal RNA
Rfam family: Bacterial large subunit ribosomal RNA
Source: RNAcentral